GAGGGUAUAGCUUAGGGGUAGAGUGCCUGCCUAGCAUGCACGAGGUCAUGGGUUCAAUCCCCUGUACUUCUA
Molecule: transfer RNA, 72 nt
Organism: Camelus ferus (Wild Bactrian camel)
Lineage: Eukaryota; Metazoa; Chordata; Mammalia; Artiodactyla; Camelidae
Rfam family: tRNA
About the family: Transfer RNA (tRNA) molecules are approximately 80 nucleotides in length.
Source: Rfam